GCAAGGGGCUGCCUAAUACAUGCAAGUCGAGCGGACUUUAAAAGCUUGCUUUUAAAGUUAGCGGCGGACGGGUGAGUAACACGUGGGCAACCUGCCUGUAAGACUGGGAUAACUUCGGGAAACCGGAGCUAAUACCGGAUAAUCCUUUUCCUCUCAUGAGGAAAAGCUGAAAGACGGUUUACGCUGUCACUUACAGAUGGGCCCGCGGCGCAUUAGCUAUUUGGUGAGGUAACGGCUCACCAAGGCGACGAUGCGUACGCGACCUGACAGGGUGAUCGGCCACCCUGCGACAGAAACACGGCCCAGACUCUUAGGGUAGGC
This 321-nucleotide ribosomal RNA is filed under the name Niallia circulans. RNAcentral's name for it is "bacterial SSU rRNA". It matches the Rfam family "Bacterial small subunit ribosomal RNA", at positions 41 to 349 of the family's 1533-position model. The record is from RNAcentral. Lineage: Bacteria; Bacillati; Bacillota; Bacilli; Caryophanales; Bacillaceae.